RNAcentral lists this ribosomal RNA (1178 nucleotides) under uncultured Rozellomycota. Its description in RNAcentral is "SSU rRNA". It matches the Rfam family "Eukaryotic small subunit ribosomal RNA", at positions 455 to 1690 of the family's 1831-position model. The record is from RNAcentral. Lineage: Eukaryota; Fungi; Rozellomycota.
CACAGGGAGGUAGUGACAGUAAAUAACAAUGCAGGGCUCUUUGAGUCUUGCAGUUGGAAUGAGUACAAUUUAAACCCCUUAACGAGUAACAAUUGGAGGGCAAGUCUGGUGCCGGCAGCCGCGGUAAUUCCAGCUCCAAUAGCGUAUAUUAAAGUUGUUGCAGUUAAAAAGCUCGUAGUUGAACUUUAGGCAAGGCGCCUGGUCACCCACUGGGUGUACUGGGCUCGCCGCGCCUCACCUUCGGGGAACUAGCUGUGCUUCGGUGCACUAGGGAACCGAGCCUUACUUUGAAGAAAUUAGAGUGUUUAAAGCAGCUUACGCUUGAAUACGCCAGCAUGGAAUAACAAGAUAGGACUUUGGUUCUAUUUUGUUGGUUUGAGGACCAAAGUAAUGAUUAAUAGGCAGUCGGGGGCAUUAGUAUUCUAUAGUCAGAGGUGAGAUUCUUGGAUUUAUAGAAGACUAACUAAUGCGAAGCAUUUGCCAAGGAUGUUUUCAUUAAUCAAGAACGAAAGUUAGGGGAUCGAAGACGAUUAGAUACCGUCGUAUCUUAACCAUAAACUAUGCCGACUAGGAUCGGUGGAUGUCGCUUUUGACUCCAUCGGCACCUUACGAGAAAUCAAAGUUUUUGGGUUCUGGGGGAGUAUGGUCGCAAGCUGAAACUUAAAGGAAUUGACGGAAGGGCACCACCAGGAGUGGAGCCUGCGGCUUAAUCUGACUCAACACGGGAAAACUCACCAGGUCCGGACAUGGGAAGGAUUGACAGAUUGAGAGCUCUUUCUUGAUUCUAUGGGUGGUGGUGCAUGGCCGUUCUUAGUUGGUGGAGUGAUUUGUCUGGUUAAUUCCGAUAACGAACGAGACCUUAACCUGCUAAAUAGAGAUGCGAACCUGCGUUCGUAGGCUCUUCUUAGAGGGACUGACUACGUUUAGUGGUCGGAAGUUUGAGGCAAUAACAGGUCUGUGAUGCCUUAGAUGUUCUGGCUGCACGCGCGCUACACUGACAGAGCAGCGAGUAUACAACCUUGACCGGAAGGUCUGGGCAAUCUUUUGAAACUCUGUCGUGCUGGGAUAGAGCAUUGCAAUUAUUGCUCUUCAACGAGGAAUUCCUAGUAAGCGCAUGUCAUCAGCAUGCGUUGAUUACGUCCUGCCCUUUGUACACACCGCCGUCGCUACUACCGAUU